GGAUGUGACGGCGAUCUGGCUGCGACAUCUGUCACCCCAUUGAUCGCCAGAGUUGAUUCAGCCGAUCUGGCUGGCUAGGCGGGUGUCCCCUUCCUCCCUCACCACUCCAUGUGCGACCCUUGAAAGCUGCACGCUCAGUCAAAGAGGACAGCCAUCCCCAACAGAGGAGGACUGUUCUUCUCGGUCAAGGGUAUAUGAGUAGCUACACUCCCGGGCUAGAACCUCCAAACAAGCUCUCAAGCAAGCUUCGGUUUAGUUUCAUGUGUAUAAAAGUCUUUAACACAAGAUUAUUUUUAAAAGAAAAAUUCCCUAGUUUU
Unclassified non-coding RNA from Vicugna pacos (alpaca), 317 nucleotides. Its record names the gene 7SK. It matches the Rfam family "7SK RNA". From Rfam's summary of the family: 7SK was discovered as an abundant small nuclear RNA in the mid-70s but a possible function has only recently been suggested. Two independent studies have found that 7SK RNA binds the CDK9/cyclin T complex (known as elongation factor P-TEFb). The record is from Ensembl. NCBI's taxonomy places the organism in Eukaryota, Metazoa, Chordata, Mammalia, Artiodactyla, Camelidae.